Molecule: ribosomal RNA, 219 nt
Filed under: Ceratonova shasta
Lineage: Eukaryota; Metazoa; Cnidaria; Myxozoa; Bivalvulida; Ceratomyxidae
Description: partial small subunit ribosomal RNA
Rfam family: Eukaryotic small subunit ribosomal RNA
Source: RNAcentral
CUCAUGAAAUAGGAAUUCCUCGUAAGCGUGAGUCACCAACUCAUGUUGAAUACGUCUCUGCCCUUUGUACACACCGCCCGUCGCUACUACCGAUUGAAUGUCUCUUCGAGAAAGCGGGAUUGAUUUUUACGCAAGUAAGAGUCGAGAGCUCUUUCUAGAAGAUGCUUUGAGAGGAAGUAAAAGUCGUAACAAGGUUUCUGUAGGUGAACCUGCAGAAGG